GUCUAAGGCCAUAUCACCCUGACCAUGCCUAAUCUCAUCUAAUCUCAGAAGCUAAGGGGGGUCAGGCCUGGUUAGUACUUGGAUGGGAAACGUACAAAAUAGGUACUUGGGUG
This 113-nucleotide ribosomal RNA is filed under the name Castor canadensis (American beaver). Lineage: Eukaryota; Metazoa; Chordata; Mammalia; Rodentia; Castoridae. The record is from RNAcentral.